This 479-nucleotide ribosomal RNA is filed under the name uncultured bacterium. RNAcentral's name for it is "bacterial SSU rRNA". It matches the Rfam family "Bacterial small subunit ribosomal RNA", at positions 28 to 508 of the family's 1533-position model. The record is from RNAcentral.
GACGAACGCUGGCGGCGUGCCUAACACAUGCAAGUCAACUUGACUGAAGGAGCAAUCUGACAGUAGAGUGGCGCAAGGGUGCGUAACGCGUAAGUAACUUGCCCAAGGUAAGGAAUAACGUCGAGAAAUCGGCGCUAAUACCUCAUAAUGCAGCGGAUCCGCAUGGAUAUGUUGUUAAAGGUUUACCGCCUUGGGAUAGGCUUGCGUCUGAUUAGCUAGUUGGUGUGGUAACGGCACACCAAGGCUACGAUCAGUAACUGGUCUGAGAGGAUGAUCAGUCACACUGGAACUGAGACACGGUCCAGACUCUUACGGGAGGCAGCAGUGAGGAAUAUUGGGCAAUGCUCGAAGGAGUGACCCAGCAACGCCGCGUGGAGGAUGAAGGUAUUCUAUAUCGUAAACUCCUGUGAGAGCAGACGAAGACAGAUUAUUAAUCUGGAUGACUGUAUGCUCAGAGGAAGCCCCGGCUAACUACGUCG